UUUUCAACUGUAAGGUGGCUAUUCAAAUUUGAGAGAUGGUGGAGGAGUGGACAAGUAUAUCUAGGAGUGCUGAAGAAAUAGUUUAGAAGAAUUUUAUGAGUUAGAUCAAAAUUGUUAAGAAGAAGAAGUUGAAAAAGGGAAGGGAGGAGUUGUGUGGAUAAUGGUUAUUUGGAGUAUCUGAAAAUUUAGAAAUGAUAUUUUAUUUAACGUGCUUUCUACGAUGUAUCAGAUUUGUUAUAUUCUAUUGAGUUAACGACAUGAAAGUGGUCUUACAUAGGAGAUAUUCUCAUUCCACUUGUAAUUUUUACAAGUUUAGUAAGGAUCCAUUGACUUGGUUAAGUUAAGUUGCGGUUGGUAUGAAUUUUCUCCUUUCCCGGAUUUUCCUAGUGUUUCUUUUGUAAAAGGACAAGAGUACCCCUAAUACUCUUUUAAUAAAAUUUCUUGCUUACAAAAAAAAUAAAAAAUAGAGAGAAGAUUAAAGGUGAAGAGUCAUGACUUCCUAUAAUAAUGCAUAAAUAACAAGUAUUGAUUAUCUAUAACAAUGUUCAUGUCCCUAUAUUUGAAGGAGAAAAUUAUGAUUUUUGAACGGUAAAAAUGAACACUUUAUUCCCAUCUUUGGAUAUCCCGGAGUUCUUCAAACGAUGAUUCGAAGAACCAACAAUUGCAACCAAACUUACAACAACAUAAAAUGACAAAUUAUAGAAGGUGAAAAUCAUAGAUGUUGGAGUUCUUGGGGUAAUUCAAAGACGCAUCUCAAAUACCAUAUUUCUAGGAAUAAUGAGAACAAAAACAGCCAAGAAAGUAUGAGAAAUUAUAUAACAAUAAUUUUAAGGAGAGUGAAAGGUGAGAACAAUCAAACUUGUGUAUCUUAAAAGAGAUUUUGAGAAUGAAAAAUGAAAGCUUGAAUGAGUAGUUUAAUAUACUCAUUAAUUUGGUGAACUAAAUGAAGUUUCAUGGAGAUAUAAUUGAAAAUUAUAGAAUUGUGAUUUUUUUAAAUUAAUUUGAUUGAAAAAUUUGAUCCUUUAGGGGAUGAUAUAUAAAAAAAAUGAAGGAUUUGACAACUAUGACAAUCAAUGUUUGACGGGUCAUUUAAAUCCUAUGAGCAAAGGUUGUCACAACCCAAAGAAAAUUUAGUCGAAAACACAUUUGAUUCAAAGCUAAUUAUUCAACGAAAUAAUGAUAAAUUACUAUUCAUAAAUAAAGGUGAUUCUUCUAGAAAUGACAAGUUUGCUGAAACACGUCUAUUGAGGAUGAGAAAAUUUUAGAGACUCAAAUAAAUGGUGUGAAAUUUGUAAAAAAAACUCACGAGAAUAAAGAUUUGUGGAACAAAUGAAAAUCAUAAUGUCAUAAUUACAAAAGGUUAGGCACAUGCAUAAACAUUGUCCCUUGGAAAAAUCAACAUCACAUAUCAUUUGCAAAAGUAGAAAAUAGUGAAACCACCUAUUCUUUGCAUGUCAAAAAGAAAAUUAUGAGUAUAAAAAUGUGUGGUAUUUUGACACCAUGUGCAACAACCAUAUAAUAGGAGAUAAAGAUGCCUUCAUUUGUCUCAAAAGUCAAAUUAGGAAAUGAGGAAUAUAUUGAAAGUGAAGGCAAAUGAAACAUUAGAGUUAUGACAAAACAAAGAGGUAAGAUGAUUC
Molecule: long non-coding RNA, 1637 nt
Filed under: Lathyrus oleraceus (garden pea)
Lineage: Eukaryota; Viridiplantae; Streptophyta; Magnoliopsida; Fabales; Fabaceae
Description: Pisum sativum (pea) long non-coding RNA (PSAT_LNC023393)
Source: RNAcentral